GGCCAGGGCAACCGUUAGCCUCGUGACGUCACUGUGGAGUACCGCUACUGUGACUGCGGGAACCUCCUCCCCGACACCGCCAUUGUGUACGGCCUUGGAGUGGCAUCCGUCGCUAAGUUACAAAGAGCGACCAACGAGUUUCCUGUCCUACCCCCUCGGGGAAGGAAAAAACUCUUCGAGUGGAUUACAAUUCCUUGAUUCACUGACAAAUAAAAGCCCAGCUACAUCCGCGCGCAUUCUACUGACGUGUGACAAGUUGACAUCAACGGCAAAGUCUCUGAACAGAUGGAGGGAUUCCCAUCAACUGCGAUCCAAAUGAUCACGCCUCUUGUUUUGUGUUUUAUUACAUUUGGCGUUUACCAGCAAGUGCAAGCUUGUGGCGGUGUAUACAAUGCUUCAUCCGGUUCCAUUACGUCUCCAUUGUACCCGAGCCAGUACCCGCCCAAUCAGGACUGUGUUUACAUUAAUCAAUGCAGCAACAGGAUAUCGCAUAACACUGACAUUUCUCCGUUUUGAGCUCGCAAAUGAAACGGUUAGCUGCAAGUACGACUAUCUGCAGAUUAGAGAUGGCGGCCUUAGCACAUCACCGUUUAUGGGUACUACUGUGGCACAACACUUUACCUACGACGAUCAUCGUCAAACACCAUGUGGAUCAAAUUCCAUUCUGAUUCUUCACAAUCCGGAGCUGGCUUUGAGACAGAGUAUACUACAGAUAUAAUCCCCCAGAAGUUCUUCGUCUUCACAGUAUCUCAGUUUCCCGGCAUUUACCGCUCAGACAUCGAAACAAUAGCCUCAUUACCAUUCCUAUUGAUGGCCUGCAAGACCCUGGUGCCAUUGACUACUACCAUCAGACGAGUCGCAUCUACUGGACUGACAGAACAGAGAAGACGAUCAGAUCAGCGAACCUCAAUGGCAGCGACGCUCGACUUGUUCGCAGUUUUGGUCCGUCUCUGUACUAGACGGCCUGUGCGUAGACGCACUGUCCAGGCUCAUCUUCUACACAGACGCAGGCAAUAAAGUCAUCGGCAUGAUCACCAUGUACAGCAACACUCAUCGAAUAGUCAUCAACUCCUCGCUUGACAUGCCGAAAGACAUUGAAGCUUGACAAAUACAAUGGGGUAAUAUACUGGAGCGACCGUGGCGCCACACCUACCAUAGAGCGAGCCAACUAUGACGGUACAGGACGUCAGACUCUGGUCUCAGGGGGCGAGUAUCUCAACCAACCGAACGCCAUCGCUCUCGACACAGUCGGUG
Pomacea canaliculata is the source of this 1254-nucleotide long non-coding RNA. RefSeq lists it as uncharacterized. The transcript has 8 exons. The record is from RefSeq and is a predicted model, not a curated record. Lineage: Eukaryota; Metazoa; Mollusca; Gastropoda; Architaenioglossa; Ampullariidae.